Rosa chinensis is the source of this 3683-nucleotide RNA transcript. It is a transcript of the gene named transcription initiation factor TFIID subunit 6b, with no coding region annotated. NCBI's taxonomy places the organism in Eukaryota, Viridiplantae, Streptophyta, Magnoliopsida, Rosales, Rosaceae. The transcript is spliced from 8 exons. The record is from RefSeq and is a predicted model, not a curated record.
UGUAAAAAUACGAGAUUGAUCCCCCACAACUCCUGAAAUGUAAAAAUAGAAAGAAACACGGGGAAAUUUAGUUCAUUCGUUCCUUCCUCGUAGGCCCAAAAUUCCGAACCAUGUCUCUUCUCUGGGCCUGCAACUCCGUCACCGGCAGUCCUCCAUCACUACCACUCAAUCCAUAACUCGGACUUACUUUAGAUUAAUUGAGUGAAAGAAAGAUUACCCACAAAACCUAGGAUGAGCAACGUGCCUAAAAAAGCAAUUGAGGUCGAGUACCGGAUUGGCAUUACCAAUUUGUCUCCUGAUGUUGCACUUGCUCUCACCCCAGAUAUCGAGUACCGGAUUCGCGAGAUCAUGCAGAUUUAGACAUUUUUGUCAUAAUCUUCAGCCACGUUUGACAAGGACUUUGCUUCACGCUUUCUUGGACCCAACCAAAGCAUUACCCCAACAUUAUGGCGCAAUUCAAGGGCUAGCAGCUCUUGGUCCCAAUGUGGUUUGCUUACUUAUACUACCAAAUCUCGAUUCGUAUAUGCAACUUCUUGAGCCAGAAAUGAUACUUGAGAAGCAAAAGAAUGAGAUAAAGAGGCAUGAAGCUUGGCGUGUCUAUGGGGCCUUUGCUGUGUGCGGCUGGCCAAUGCAUGCAUGACCGGCUCAAAAUGUUCCACAGUUUGCUGUCUCCUCCAGCUCAUCCUGUUUGGAAGUGCAAUGGAAGGAUUGCAACAACAAUGACAACGGGAGCACACCCAAAGAUAUUUGGAACUUAACUCAGAUAAAGACGAUUUACCUUGGCUCCAACUAUUUGACAGGUACACCAUACCGAAUGAGAUUGGUCAUCUUCCAUGUUUAGAGGAAUUUGUCCUGGGUGGUAAUAAUCUCAGUGGCCUCAUCCCAACCUCAAUCUUCCAUAUGUCCGCAAUAUCAAUAAUAUCACUUGACAGCAACCAGUUCUCAGGUAACUUCCCAGCAAAUAUAGGCCUUGAUCUUCCAAACCUACAAGCGCUCCUCGUAGGAGCAAAUAAACUCAUUGGAAGAGUCCCCGAAUACAUCUCUAAUGCUUCUAAAAUCACAAACUUAGACCUGGUCAGCAACUCAUUUUCUGGUUUUAUUCCUAGCUCGCUUUGUGCCUUAACAAACCUUGAGCGACUUAACUUAGGCCACAAUAAUUUAGCUAUUGAUACUUCGGCUCCAGAAAGAAUUUUCUCUCUUGUUUGGCUAAUUUUAGAAAAUUGAGGAUACUAGCCUUACCCGAGCAAUCCAUUAAAGGCUCCACUUCCCAUUUCCUUUAGGAAUCUCUCUACAUCACUUGAGACCAUUAAGCUAAGCAAUUGCAGCUUGAGAGGUUACAUUGCAAAUGAUAUUGGCAAUUUGAGCAGCUCGACACUCAUAGCUUUGAAUUACAAUCUAUUGAGUGGAACCAUUCCAACCUCAGUAGGAAGAUUACAUAAUCUCCAAGGUCUGUAUGUACAUAAAAACAAAUUGCAAGGAUACAUCCCAGACGAACUUUGUCAGCUAAAAAACCUGGUUUCAUUGAUCUUGGGUUUUAAUCAACUCUCUGGUUCAAUACCUUCAUGCUUGGGUAAUCUAGGUCAAGCACUAAGAAGUCUCUAUUUAGGCCCCAAUUUGUUAACUUCUAUAAUACCAUCUACCUUGUGGAGAUUGACAGAUAUCAUGCAAUUAGACUUGUCAUCCAAUUCUCUAAUUGGACCACUCUCAGAAGGUAUUGGUAAUAUGAAAGUUGCCACAUAUAUAUAUAUAUAUAUAUCAAACAACCAUUUAUCUGGUAGUAUUCCAAGCAGCACUGGGGGGCUAAAGAGUUUGAUCAAUUUCUACUUGGCAAAUAAUAGUCUUGAACGCCCAAUUCCAAGUUCACUUGGCAACUCGCUAAGCCUGGAGUCCAUAGAUAUAUCUGAAAACCAAUUGUCUUGAGUUAUUCCAAAGUCUCUUGAAGCACUCUCAUCUCUCCAAUAUCUAAAUUUUUCUUUUAACAGACUCUAGGGAGAAAUUCCAACAGGCGGGCCUUUCAAAAACUUCUCUGGUGAAUCAUUUCUUUCUAACCAUUUGUGGUGCAUCCCUAUUUCAAGUUUCAGCAUGUAGAAGGAAAACUGGUAUAUCUAUCUUCAAGUAUGUUAUUCCGGGGAUCUUGUCAUCACUGCUUCUAGUGACCUCCAUAUUGAUCUUAUAGAGAAAGAAAAAGGUGAAAGCUGCAACAGAGACUACCUUCUUGCCUCAACUUCUAUGGAGAAGAGUUUAUACCAAGUCCUUCUAAGGGCGACAAAUGGAUUCACCGAAAACAGCUUACUUGGAGACGGGGUUUUGGCUCAGUAUACAAAUGUCAGACGGUAUGGAGGUUGCCAUAAAGGUUUUCAAUUUACAGUUAGAAGGGGCAUUCGCAAGUUUUGAUACUGAAUGUGAAAUACUAAGCAAUAUUCGUCACCGGAAUCUUAUCAAAGUCAUCAGCUGUUGCAGCCAGAUUGAUUUCAAAGCUCUCGUAUUGAACUACAUGCCUAACGGUAGUCUUGACAAAUGGUCGUAUUUUCAGAACUUUUCCUUGAACAUCCUUCAGAGGUUGAAUAUAUUGAUUGAUGUUGCGUUGGCAUUGGAGUACCUUCAUCAUGGUUAUGAAACACCUAUUGUCCAUUGUGAUUUGAAGCCCAGCAAUAUAUUACUAGAUGAUGAUAUGGGUGCACAUGUUGCUGAUUUUGGCAUCGCAAAACGCUUGGGUGGAGGAGAUUCUAUGACUCGAACCAUGACCCUUGCCACAAUCGGUUAUAUGGCUCCAGAGUAUGGAAUGGAAGGAAUGGUAACCAGAAGAGGGGAUGUGUAUAGUUUUGGUAUUGUAGUGAUGUAGACAUUCACAAGAAGGAAGCCAAUUGAUGAGAUCUUCGCUGGGGAAAUGAGUUUAAAGCUAUGGGUUGCAAAUUCAUUAGAUGCAGGGGCGGUAGUUAAAGUUGUGGAUGCUACUUUACUUGGAAUAGAGGAGGAUCAUGAUUUUGUGAGCAAGAGGGAAUGUUUAUCAUCUGUUAUGAGACUAGCUGUUGCUUGUUCAGCAGACUCACCAGAAGAGAGAGUAAAUAUGCAAGUGGCUCUCGCCACGCUUAAGAAAAUCAAGAUCAAGUUUUUGAAGGACGUUAGAGGAGGUGUCGAGUCUUCAAGGAUCCGAAUCCUCUAAAAUCGUAGGGUUGUAAAGUUAUUUAAAAUUCAUAAAAUCAUGAUGCUCGAAGUGAUCUAAAGGUCUAGAUUGUCUCCAUAUCAGCUUUACCUAAGUUUACAGUUUUUAACUGAUUAGCAGGAUGGAUGCAAAGUUGUCGUGCUAAUGAGAUGGAUGCAAAGUUGUAGUGCUAAUGAUACUUGUUGAAUGAAUACCAAAUACCCUAUUGAUAUUUAUGAAAAUGGAACAAAUACUUUAUCCGUUAUAUAGAUUUCUCAAAAACAUAGGCAUAAAACUAAAUCCCCCAGAAAAUCUCCUCAAAACAAUUUAGAUAGUUUCCCGCACGAACCCUAAAAACAAAGAUGAAAAGCAUACCGUGAGUCUCCAGAAAGAUCGGAUCGAGAUUCGCUGGCUGUGUUGGGUUGUCACGACGGUCGGAUAAUCGUUCCACAAAAGGUUAGACAUAAUCACUUCGCCACGUCAGGUUGGUGCUUGGCCGAAUGAAAAAUUUUGAAGAAUAGUCUGCAACCUAUACUUUUCU